This 154-nucleotide non-coding RNA is filed under the name human gut metagenome. RNAcentral's name for it is "FMN riboswitch (RFN element)". It matches the Rfam family "FMN riboswitch aptamer (RFN element)". From Rfam's summary of the family: The RFN element is a highly conserved domain that is found frequently in the 5'-untranslated regions of prokaryotic mRNAs that encode for flavin mononucleotide (FMN) biosynthesis and transport proteins. This element is a metabolite-dependent riboswitch that directly binds FMN in the absence of proteins. In Bacillus subtilis, the riboswitch most likely controls gene expression by causing premature transcription termination within the 5' untranslated region of the ribDEAHT operon and precluding access to the ribosome-binding site of ypaA mRNA. The record is from RNAcentral.
UGUCUUCGGGGCGGGGUGCGAUUCCCCACCGGCGGUAAGGGAGCAGCCUCCCGCAGCCCGCGAACCCGGCGCGUUCAGUGCCGGGCCGAUUUGGUGAAAUUCCAAAGCCGACGGUAUUCCGCAGCAGUGCGGUCAGUCCGGAUGAAAGAAGACG